Long non-coding RNA from Quercus lobata, 412 nucleotides. RefSeq lists it as uncharacterized. NCBI's taxonomy places the organism in Eukaryota, Viridiplantae, Streptophyta, Magnoliopsida, Fagales, Fagaceae. The transcript is spliced from 4 exons. The record is from RefSeq and is a predicted model, not a curated record.
CCCAAACUCAGCUCUCACUAUCUCAGCUCAACCUCCCGAUCCAAUCUCGCCGCUGUGCUCUCAACCCACUACCCACAAACCUCACGCCUCCUCCCUCAUCAAAACCCGAAAAAUUUGCUGACCGAAGAGACCCAAGCUCUUCACUGGUGAGGCUCACUCUGUCACCAGCAGGCUGUCACUCCACUUGAUCAAGUUUCUAGAUCUUCUCACAGGAGUUUUGUUUCAGGUUUUUCUCCUUCACCAAGAACCAACUAAGCCCUAAAUUACGAAUUAGUACCAUCCAUCCAACAAUGGCUUCCGAACUUUCUUUUGGACAUAAAAGGACCUGGAUUGGCAUUUUUGCCUGUGCUUGCAUUUGAAGGAGGAACUAGAAAAAACAUACCGAGGUUUGAGGGAGAGAAGGCCGAGAGGU